UGGUAUCCAACUCACAAUCUUC
This 22-nucleotide unclassified non-coding RNA is filed under the name Mus musculus (house mouse). RNAcentral describes it as "oocyte_clustered_small_RNA11316". The record is from RNAcentral. Lineage: Eukaryota; Metazoa; Chordata; Mammalia; Rodentia; Muridae.